Molecule: long non-coding RNA, 572 nt
Organism: Sphaerodactylus townsendi
Lineage: Eukaryota; Metazoa; Chordata; Lepidosauria; Squamata; Sphaerodactylidae
Exons: 2
Source: RefSeq, a predicted model, not a curated record
CCGCGCACCGGAAGGGCCGCGCAGACCGGGCCGGGGAGGCCGCCGCUUCUCCUGCGCCGCCGUGGGCCGAGAGCCGGUGCAGGCGCAGCAGCUGCUUGCGGGAGAAGGCCUCGGCGCAGCGCGGCUCCGGGCACGGAUGCGAUGCCUCUAGCCAUGAAGGAAGGAAAAUGUUUCAAACAGGGCUGUGCAAUGCAGAGGAAGUACAAUGUGGGUUGACCCUGCUCUUUACAACGAGACGGUGUGAAAGCCGGAACGGAAACAAACAGCCUUGAACGGGUUUUAAAUAAAUAAUAUUACUGCAGAACACACGGGUAGAUGUUAAACACACUUCAGAACAAUAUUUUAGAAAUGCAAACAUUGAAAUAAUUUGCUAUUAUUGACCUUUUUCUAGCCAGGAUGAAGGAGAGCAGCAGGGAACAGGCAUUAAAAAUAUUACAGCAAAACUAUGUUGGGCUUUAAAGCCAUCCCCCACUUUUAUCACUUGCAUGGAAAUAGCUGCCCACAUGCGUUUAAUGAGUUGAACUCUGCUCCCUGAAAUAUUAUGCAAUAAUAAAAACUUGUUUUUAACAUGC